AAAGUUAGACAAUAAGUUUAACCACAGAGAUAUUUUUUGGUUUAUUUAUACCAUGUACCUCUUUGAAAAAAUCUUUUGUUUCUUUUGGAUUCACUAUCUCAAGCACCAAAACCCCAAAUCUAAAUACAUCUGAUUUUACCCAGAACACCAUCUAUAGUGUAUUUCGGGGAAAUGUAGCCAGUGCAUGAUAAAAAAUAAUAUCCGGAAUCUGAGUUACGAGAAAUAGAAGAGCGUUUCACAUAUUAUGGAUGAUUCUGAGAUGGGAAUCUUGAUGGAGAUGUUAAGCUGUCGAACUUAAGUAUCGUCGCUAUAAAGAGGCAAUGUGGAUUGAAAAGGGAUUGCGAUUUUUCUCUUAUAAACUUCUAAAUUAACUACAGUAUGUAGUUUCAUAUUGAGAUGAACCUCUAUUAAUGUUGCUUGUUCUUUUGUGUCUUUUUUCCUUGUUA
Molecule: long non-coding RNA, 446 nt
Filed under: Olea europaea (common olive)
Lineage: Eukaryota; Viridiplantae; Streptophyta; Magnoliopsida; Lamiales; Oleaceae
Description: long non-coding RNA (OEUR_LNC002047)
Source: RNAcentral